UUAGACGUAUAAAUUUGUAAGCACCAAACAAGUACGGCAUUUUUUGUUGGGAUUUAAUUGAAUUAUUUGGAGUGGUCGAAAGAGAAUGAAAAGACGAGUAGUCUGUUGCAAUGUGUGUACCUUGAGAAGCCACGUAGCUAGGGAACUGCAACACGUAAAGGUGAUUUUCUUUUAACCUUUUCUCAAUCGAUCUUCAAUUUGUUUUGUUUGUGUUCAAUUGAUCAAUGGAGAUAUUUUCUUUAAAAUUACAGCAACUAAACUCUGUAAUGUAAUGGCAGAUUACAAACAUGCAAAAAAGAAAGAAGAAGAAGAACGCAACUUAUUAAAAGACUCUUCUGAUUUCCUUUGUUGACAUGAACUCGAAUUUGAAUUUUGGUUGCUACUUAAUUCAAAAUCAAAUUUGGAGUUGAAUUGAAUUUCUAUCCAAGAGACUUGUACUGAAUUGAGAGACAGAAAGAGAUGGCAAAGAAGAGGAUUUGGAAAUAAAGUGGGAUCCAUCUUUCCUUUUCUUUUUCUUCUUUUGGAUUCCCUUUUCAGACUUCUUUCCCAUCUAGGUAUGUCAGGGCACAUUGUUCUUUGUCAAGCGCUAGUACAUGUGUAUAUGUUGCUGAUAUGAAGUGGUCAUGUAGUAGGUAUGUAAUAGAUACGAACUUCAAGAUGGAAAAACAAAAGUGCAAUCAUCAAACUUGGAGAUAGAAAGGAACCAUCGAACUUGGAUGAAAGAGCAACAAUGCAACCCUCGUGAGAUGGAGAAGCAAUAAAGAAGCAACCAGAAAACUUGGAGAUAGAACAGGCAACAGUGGACUUUGAAUCUCCCAGAUGUGACAAAGCCAGAAAGCCCAGACUUGGUCGCAAGGAUGAGGCCAGAAAGCUAAGCCAGGCAAAUCGAACUUGAUUUCACAUAUGAGGUGAAGCCAAAUGCACCAGACUUGAUCUUCCAAGAUGAGGCAGAGUAAUGUGGAUUAGGCUUGAUUUUUAAGGAUGGGGCAGAACCAAACGGACAAGACUUGAUCUCACAUAUGAGACAGAGCCAUGCAAAUCCAAAAUUGAACUUUGGAGAUGAGGUGGAGCCAGGCGGAUCGAACUUGAUCUUAGAAGAUGAGCGUAAUCUUGAACACACAUAUGAGACGGAGAUCGACGAAUUAGAUUUGAUCUCACAUAUGAAACGAAGCUAAGUGGAACAGGCUUGAACUUCAGAGAUUAGGCGAAAAUAGGAAAGUAAACAGUGUCUUGCAUAGGAAGGCGAGGUCACAUCAUAACUUAGGAGAACUUUAGAGAUGAGGCAAAACUAGAUGAACUAAAAACUUGAUAUUAAAGAUGAGGAAAGUCAGCAAACCAGACUUGAUCUCAUGUAUAAGGUAGAGUUAGGCAGACCAAGAGCUUGAUCUAGCAUAUGAGGUAGAUUUGUUUAAGUUGGUAGCAUACUCUCGGAUAAAGAGAUCAGUUCAAAUAUAUUUUUUUACUAAAUUGAACUAAAGUUUCCUACCAGCUAUGUAGUUACUUACCAAUUGAAGAAAGAGAUCAAGUCAUUAGGUGUGCACAUAAGUCAGAUUGGAAAAUUAUGGACCAACUCAAAGUGUUCGGGUUGGCAAAAAAUGAACUUAUCGAUGAAUAUAUGCAAGUGUUAACCCAACCCCAACCGAACUAAAAAAUUUCAAGUUGGGCUGGGUUAGGUUGAUUGUUUUUUUUUUUUUUCA
This is a long non-coding RNA of Cucumis sativus (cucumber), 1697 nucleotides long. RefSeq lists it as uncharacterized. The transcript is spliced from 2 exons. NCBI's taxonomy places the organism in Eukaryota, Viridiplantae, Streptophyta, Magnoliopsida, Cucurbitales, Cucurbitaceae. The record is from RefSeq and is a predicted model, not a curated record.